GUAGGUGGCAAGCGUUGUCCGGAAUUAUUGGGCGUAAAGCGCGCGCAGGCGGUUCUUUAAGUCUGAUGUGAAAGCCCACGGCUCAACCGUGGAGAGUCAUUGGAAACUGGAGAACUUGAGUACAGAAGAGGAAAGCGGAAUUCCACGUGUAGCUGUGAAAUGCGUAGAGAUGUGGAGGAACACCAGUGGCGAAGGCGGCUUUCUGGUCUGUAACUGACGCUGAGGCGCGAAAGCGUGGGGGGGAGCAAACAGGAUUAGAUACCCUGGUAGUCCACGCCGUAAACGAUGAGCGCUAAGUGUUAGGGGGUUUCCGCCCCCCCCUUAGUGCUGCAGCUAACGCAUUAAGCACUCCGCCUGGGAGUACGGCCGCAAGGCUG
RNAcentral lists this ribosomal RNA (377 nucleotides) under uncultured organism. RNAcentral describes it as "partial 16S ribosomal RNA". It matches the Rfam family "Bacterial small subunit ribosomal RNA", at positions 527 to 896 of the family's 1533-position model. The record is from RNAcentral.